RNAcentral lists this ribosomal RNA (675 nucleotides) under uncultured Arthrobacter sp. RNAcentral describes it as "bacterial SSU rRNA". It matches the Rfam family "Bacterial small subunit ribosomal RNA", at positions 444 to 1129 of the family's 1533-position model. The record is from RNAcentral. Lineage: Bacteria; Bacillati; Actinomycetota; Actinomycetes; Micrococcales; Micrococcaceae.
GAAGAAGCGAAAGUGACGGUACCUGCAGAAGAAGCGCCGGCUAACUACGUGCCAGCAGCCGCGGUAAUACGUAGGGCGCAAGUGUUAUCCGGAAUUAUUGGGCGUAAAGAGCUCGUAGGCGGUUUGUCGCGUCUGCCGUGAAAGUCCGGGGCUCAACUCCGGAUCUGCGGUGGGUACGGGCAGACUAGAGUGAUGUAGGGGAGACUGGAAUUCCUGGUGUAGCGGUGAAAUGCGCAGAUAUCAGGAGGAACACCGAUGGCGAAGGCAGGUCUCUGGGCAUUAACUGACGCUGAGGAGCGAAAGCAUGGGGAGCGAACAGGAUUAGAUACCCUGGUAGUCCAUGCCGUAAACGUUGGGCACUAGGUGUGGGGGACAUUCCACGUUUUCCGCGCCGUAGCUAACGCAUUAAGUGCCCCGCCUGGGGAGUACGGCCGCAAGGCUAAAACUCAAAGGAAUUGACGGGGGCCCGCACAAGCGGCGGAGCAUGCGGAUUAAUUCGAUGCAACGCGAAGAACCUUACCAAGGCUUGACAUGGACCGGACCGCCGCAGAAAUGUGGUUUCCCCUUUGGGGCUGGUUUACAGGUGGUGCAUGGUUGUCGUCAGCUCGUGUCGUGAGAUGUUGGGUUAAGUCCCGCAACGAGCGCAACCCUCGUUCCAUGUUGCCAGCGCGUAAU